GUAGGGAAAGGUUCCAUCUUUAAAACAUUAGGGUUUUUUGUUUGUUUUUGAAGUGGUCUCAAGCACAUCAGUCUGGUUUCCAACUUCCGAUGAAGAAGAGAGUGAUUUAGAACUUCUUCAUCUCCUACCUCCCAAAGAGGCACAGGCAUUUACAAACACACACUUAUGUAAUGCUGAUGACCAAACUCAGGGCUUUGAACAUAUUAGGCAAGCAUUCUCCCAACUGAGCUGUAUCCCCAGCCUGAAAAGCACUUUUCUUAAACUUCAUUGUGUACCUGAAUCCCCAGAGAGACUUGUUAGCACAGAGGCUGCCUAACUAACCCCCAAGAUUUCUGAUCUAGUAGGUCUGGGUAGAACUUGAGAGUUUUUGUAGCAGAUUACAGCUGCUGUGGUAAGAUUACAGUUUGAGACUCACUGCCUUAAAAUCUUCCUUGCAACUAGGGGAAUGAGUAUUUCUGGUCUGGGAGUAUGUUCUGUUAUUGGGAGUAUGAUUUAACUCCUACUCUUGAUACCCUGACACCCAUAGUCUCUCAUUUAUAUCCAGAUGUUUAUCAAAGCUCAGACCACCCAAACCCCACUCCUCAGUCUUUCCUCCCUGUUUGUCUCACAGCCCCUUGGUUCUGGCUGCCCUCUGAGGUCCUGCCCAUGCUCCCUGGCUUAUUCUCCUCUGCUUUUCAUUCACAUAUUUCUCAUCAGCCCAGUCAUUCUCCAGAACUGCCCGUUCUGCGUGUUGUUCUUUGAUCCUUCUCACAGUCCUGAUGCUCUCGACAACUCCCAAAUACCCUUGCCAACCAGGGCUAAGUAGGCUUUGUCCAGGAACUCCUGCUCCAAGCUGGUAUGACAUUUACAUUCAGACCCUCACUUGGAAGGCUACCCUCUCUAGUAUCUGGCCAGCUCCAAGCUGUUGGGGAAUCAAGGGAAUCUCUCUCUCUCCCUCUCCCCAAAAAUUUUUGGUACACCAGUCACAACUUUUUUUCACAACUUCAUUUGCUCUUGAAGAAACAUCACAAUUCCUAACUGCCUAACAAUCUGGUCUCAGCCUCUCCCACACCCCUGUAACUCACCUUGCCAUUUCCUGCUGCUGUUAGCUUCUGAUGGAGUCUUACGUUUAUAGUCCCCGUGAGCCUCAGAAAGGCAAGUUUUGUGCAGUUCCAAGCUUCUCCUACUUGAACGAAUCGGGAGCGGAUGCAUUUUUUUUCUAUAAAGGCAGGACAGAGAGAUUUCUCAUUAUUCCAGGGAAACAUCCCCUCACGAAUACAAGAGUACAUUUGCAAACCAGCCUUUCAAAGAGCUAUUUCAAAAGCAAUAAGCAAGUGGUUCUAUGGUGAGGAUUACAAACACACCCUCAGGGUAAGUCAAGGGUGAAGAGGACAGUUCUAAUAUGACACAUUGGUCCAGACUCCGUGGAAGAGUGUCAGUCAGACACCUUUAAAGUACUGUAUCUCAAACAACUUAGAUGCAAGCAAAGGAGAUCUACUUAAACUAGGUGUAGACAUCAUGAAGGUGUUGAUUCAAAAGAUGCUUGUGGGGAAUUUGAAGCUAAUUGUUACUUAAUGUGAGAAUGGGGGAAAAGCAAUAUUUUGUAUUAUUGUAACAUAUAUAUAUAUGUAUAUCAUUAUUUUAAAAUAAGCAUGUAUAAUUAAAUAAAUUAGAUAUUAUAAAUAGACAUCUGGCUAUUUGAUUUCUAUUUCUGGAAGUUUAAGUAUUCACAAUUGAUACUUAUUUUUACUUUUAAAAGUUUUCCCAAACUGACCAAAGAUCUUAUUUAAGUUGUAGCAUUCAUUUUUAUUAUAACAUUAAGUGAGUAGUCUGGGGUGUGGUGGCACAUGCCUUGAAUCGCAGUACUCAGGAGGCAGAGGCAGGCAGAUCUCUAUGAGUUUGAGGCCAGCCUGGUCUACAGAGUGAGUUCCAGAACAGGCCAGAACUACAUAACGAGACCCUGUCUUGGUUUUUUUUUUUUUUUUUUAAAUGAGCUCUAGAAAAAGCUAAAUUAUCAAUGUGUAAAAUCUGAUGUUAUAAUGUAUGCACCUAGCUUAUUAUUUAAUGUGUAUCUUACAUGUAUUCUGUUAUUGUUAUGGUAUAUUUUGCUAGACUGAUUACAGGUUUUGGUGGAAUCACUCAGAUGUAUGUACAAGAAGGAAC
This 2142-nucleotide long non-coding RNA is filed under the name Mus pahari (shrew mouse). RNAcentral describes it as "lncRNA (MGP_PahariEiJ_G0004610.1)". The record is from RNAcentral. Lineage: Eukaryota; Metazoa; Chordata; Mammalia; Rodentia; Muridae.